Molecule: transfer RNA, 82 nt
Organism: Citrobacter koseri ATCC BAA-895
Lineage: Bacteria; Pseudomonadati; Pseudomonadota; Gammaproteobacteria; Enterobacterales; Enterobacteriaceae
Rfam family: tRNA
About the family: Transfer RNA (tRNA) molecules are approximately 80 nucleotides in length. Their secondary structure includes four short double-helical elements and three loops (D, anti-codon, and T loops).
Source: Rfam
GGUGGGGUUCCCGAGUGGCCAAAGGGAGCAGACUGUAAAUCUGCCGUCAUCGACUUCGAAGGUUCGAAUCCUUCCCCCACCA